GUCCUGUAGGUGGUAUGAGGUUGGAAAUGUGAUGAAUAUGAAACUGACAUUGUGGUUUAUGAAGAGUUCAACACAGAUCUCUUGUACCGUACUUUGGUAGAAGAAAAGGCGUCACAAAUCCACUGUCCGGUGUGUGAAUAUCAGCAGGCCACGUUCAUCUGGUAUAAGGAUUUCUCUCUUAUUCCAAACCAAGAGUCUGCAAAGGUUUUACGUAUCCGUAACUCUUCAAAAGAAAGCGAGGGUAUUUACACCUGCGUUUGCACCUGGGAGCACAACGGGAUAAAACACAACACCUCUGCAUCUCGCAGACUGGAAGUGAACAGAGCACUCAUCACUCACACUGCGUCCAAAGAAGAUCAGGAUCAAUUCUGUCUGCAGAGACAACGGAUCAAAGACCUCAUCAAGCAAGCCAAAAAGGAAAAGAAGAAGGGCCAGUAGGUGGACGAAUAUCCAACAGCCGAAGAUCGACUCGAAGGCCAACGAGAAGAUCCGAUUGCUUAGACAACAACAAAAAAAUAAUACGAAAUUAAUUUUGCUUAUAAAACAAUCAUAUGCUUUGAAUGCUUUUGCUUCUGGUCUAGAAAAAAUUACUAGCGAGGUGGGGGCUUUAACCACAAGCCCUAGCGCCGUUAGUAACUAACCCUGUGGUUUAACCCUAUGGGUUUAACUGAUUUCCUGUUAAGCUUCUGUAACCCACCCAAAGUAACAGGAAAGGGUUAAAGGGAUAGUUCACCCAAAAAUGAAAAUUAUCCCAUGAUUUACACAUCCUAGGUGUAUAUGACUAUCUUCUUUCAGAUAAACACAAUUGGAGAUAUAUUUAAAAAUAUCCUUAGUCCUCCAAGGUUUAUAAUGGCUGUGAAUGGUAGGCCAAAUUCUAAAGGAAAAAAAGCAUCCAUCCAUAAAAAAUGAAUCCAUACGACUCCAGGGGGUUAAUAAAGGCGUUUGUG
Long non-coding RNA from Ctenopharyngodon idella (grass carp), 947 nucleotides. RefSeq lists it as uncharacterized. The record is from RefSeq and is a predicted model, not a curated record. The transcript has 4 exons. NCBI's taxonomy places the organism in Eukaryota, Metazoa, Chordata, Actinopteri, Cypriniformes, Xenocyprididae.